UCUUCAGUAGCUCAAUGGUAGAGCGUAUGGCUGUUAACUAUUUGGUUGUUGGUUCGAAUCCAACCUGGGGAG
This 72-nucleotide transfer RNA is filed under the name Chattonella marina. Its description in RNAcentral is "tRNA-Asn". It matches the Rfam family "tRNA". From Rfam's summary of the family: Transfer RNA (tRNA) molecules are approximately 80 nucleotides in length. Their secondary structure includes four short double-helical elements and three loops (D, anti-codon, and T loops). Lineage: Eukaryota; Raphidophyceae; Chattonellales; Chattonellaceae. The record is from RNAcentral. RNAcentral also lists the same sequence under 4 other names.